This 761-nucleotide ribosomal RNA is filed under the name Vibrio sp. CCH-56. RNAcentral's name for it is "bacterial SSU rRNA". It matches the Rfam family "Bacterial small subunit ribosomal RNA", at positions 38 to 778 of the family's 1533-position model. Lineage: Bacteria; Pseudomonadati; Pseudomonadota; Gammaproteobacteria; Vibrionales; Vibrionaceae. RNAcentral also lists the same sequence under 1 other name. The record is from RNAcentral.
GGCGGCAGGCCUAACACAUGCAAGUCGAGCGGAAACGACACUAACAAUCCUUCGGGUGCGUUAAUGGGCGUCGAGCGGCGGACGGGUGAGUAAUGCCUAGGAAAUUGCCUUGAUGUGGGGGAUAACCAUUGGAAACGAUGGCUAAUACCGCAUAAUGCCUACGGGCCAAAGAGGGGGACCUUCGGGCCUCUCGCGUCAAGAUAUGCCUAGGUGGGAUUAGCUAGUUGGUGAGGUAAUGGCUCACCAAGGCGACGAUCCCUAGCUGGUCUGAGAGGAUGAUCAGCCACACUGGAACUGAGACACGGUCCAGACUCCUACGGGAGGCAGCAGUGGGGAAUAUUGCACAAUGGGCGAAAGCCUGAUGCAGCCAUGCCGCGUGUAUGAAGAAGGCCUUCGGGUUGUAAAGUACUUUCAGUUGUGAGGAAGGGGGUAGCGUUAAUAGCGCUAUCUCUUGACGUUAGCAACAGAAGAAGCACCGGCUAACUCCGUGCCAGCAGCCGCGGUAAUACGGAGGGUGCGAGCGUUAAUCGGAAUUACUGGGCGUAAAGCGCAUGCAGGUGGUUCAUUAAGUCAGAUGUGAAAGCCCGGGGCUCAACCUCGGAACUGCAUUUGAAACUGGUGAACUAGAGUACUGUAGAGGGGGGUAGAAUUUCAGGUGUAGCGGUGAAAUGCGUAGAGAUCUGAAGGAAUACCAGUGGCGAAGGCGGCCCCCUGGACAGAUACUGACACUCAGAUGCGAAAGCGUGGGGAGCAAACAGGAU